AUUCCUAAGGAACAAUUUUUCUUUACCGAAUUCGUCGAGGUCUUCACGCAUCUCGAGGAGAAUUCGGUUGGCUUCUUUCGGUGAGAAGAGUUUGUCCAGGUAAGCGUCAAGAGCCACAGUGUUAAUUUCUUUGGCACUGAAGACGAGCGACUCGAAAGUAACUCGCUGCUCGUGCAUCUCCUUCCUUCCAACUCUCUCAAAUGUGUCUGAAUCUGAAAGCGGCAAUUCCACAUCAUCGAAGGAAGUUUCCUCACUGCUAGUUAAGUUUGGAUCCUGUGAUGCCUUCUCCGGAAAAGAAGCGGAGCUGGCGAUCCACUCGCUCAAUAGCCUACCAAAUAGCUCUGCGUAUUCAAACUUGACCUUCUCCGUGUUGAGCAAAUUAUUGAGAUUGAGCUCCCACUGACGCAGGAUUGUCUCGCUGAUGCUUGGGUCAUGCUGGGCCUGCACUAGAAAUUCCUUGACGUUGUCGAGGUAAGUUCCAGAAGAUGAUGACGAGGUCUUAUCCGUGCUUUGCCAGGAAUUGAUUCCAUCCAGAAGCAUCUGAACUCUUUCGCGUGCACUCUUGGCAUCGGCGACCGAGGCUACAAUCUUUUCACUGUGGAUUUUGAAGUCAGCGU
Molecule: long non-coding RNA, 617 nt
Filed under: Physcomitrium patens
Lineage: Eukaryota; Viridiplantae; Streptophyta; Bryopsida; Funariales; Funariaceae
Description: long non-coding RNA (PPAT_LNC002478)
Source: RNAcentral